RNAcentral lists this ribosomal RNA (447 nucleotides) under uncultured bacterium. Its description in RNAcentral is "partial 16S ribosomal RNA". It matches the Rfam family "Bacterial small subunit ribosomal RNA", at positions 330 to 792 of the family's 1533-position model. The record is from RNAcentral.
GCCAGACUCCUACGGGAGGCAGCAGUGGGGAAUAUUGGGCAAUGGGCGCAAGCCUGACCCAGCAACGCCGCGUGAAGGAAGAAGGCUUUCGGGUUGUAAACUUCUUUUAAGAGGGAAGAGCAGAAGACGGUACCUCUUGAAUAAGCCACGGCUAACUACGUGCCAGCAGCCGCGGUAAUACGUAGGUGGCAAGCGUUGUCCGGAUUUACUGGGUGUAAAGGGCGUGCAGCCGGGAAGACAAGUCAGAUGUGAAAUCCCGUGGCUCAACCGCGGAACUGCAUUUGAAACUGUUUUUCUUGAGUACCGGAGAGGUCAUCGGAAUUCCUUGUGUAGCGGUGAAAUGCGUAGAUAUAAGGAAGAACACCAGUGGCGAAGGCGGAUGACUGGACGGCAACUGACGGUGAGGCGCGAAAGCGUGGGGAGCAAACAGGAUUAGAUACCCUAGUA